This 590-nucleotide ribosomal RNA is filed under the name uncultured bacterium. RNAcentral describes it as "bacterial SSU rRNA". It matches the Rfam family "Bacterial small subunit ribosomal RNA", at positions 338 to 916 of the family's 1533-position model. The record is from RNAcentral.
CCUACGGGAGGCAGCAGUGGGGAAUUUUGGACAAUGGGGGCAACCCUGAUCCAGCCAUGCCGCGUGAGUGAAGAAGGCCUUCGGGUUGUAAAGCUCUUUCGGCCGGAACGAAAUCGCGCACGUGAAUAACGUGCGUGGAUGACGGUACCGGAGUAAGAAGCACCGGCUAACUACGUGCCAGCAGCCGCGGUAAUACGUAGGGUGCGAGCGUUAAUCGGAAUUACUGGGCGUAAAGCGUGCGCAGGCGGUUCGCUAAGUCAGACGUGAAAGCCCCGGGCUUAACCUGGGAACGGCGUUUGAAACUGGCGGGCUCGAGUACGGCAGAGGGGGGUGGAAUUCCACGUGUAGCAGUGAAAUGCGUAGAUAUGUGGAGGAACACCGAUGGCGAAGGCAGCCCCCUGGGCCGAUACUGACGCUCAUGCACGAAAGCGUGGGGAGCAAACAGGAUUAGAUACCCUGGUAGUCCACGCCCUAAACUAUGUCAAACUAGUUGUCGGGGAAGCAAAUUCCUUGGUAACGCAGCUAACGCGUGAAAGUUGACCGCCUGGGGAGUACGGUCGCAAGAUUAAAAACUCAAAAUGAAUUGACGG